This is a long non-coding RNA of Cynara cardunculus var. scolymus (artichoke), 1371 nucleotides long. RefSeq lists it as uncharacterized. The record is from RefSeq and is a predicted model, not a curated record. NCBI's taxonomy places the organism in Eukaryota, Viridiplantae, Streptophyta, Magnoliopsida, Asterales, Asteraceae. The transcript has 6 exons.
CAAAUUCUGGUGAUCAAAAGCAAAAGCUUCAGAACACCUCAUUCUUGUAUCUCUUUCCCCCCAAAUUUUGUUACAAAUGACUUCCCUUCUGCAAAAGCUCGUUAGAAAGAAAUCAUCAACCCUAAUUGUGGCCUCUUCGAAGUCAAUCUGAGUCUCCGAUACAAAACCAGAAUCAUCCGCCAUUGGCGUACCCAAAACAAUCGACCAAUCCAACCCUUCUAAUUCCUUGAAGUUUUACCCAAGUGGGGGAUUUCUUAAAUCUGGGUUCGUUCAAUCUGUUGAUCCAGAAGGAGAAAUUGAUUUGGGUAACAAUGAAAUGAUGAUUUGGGUAACAAUGAAAUGAUGAUUUGGGUUGAUAGUGUGAACAAAAAGAGAAAGAAGAAGAUGAAGAAGCACAAGUUGAAGAAGCUGAGGAAGCGUCUACGAAGGAAAACUUAGUUUUGAAAUCUUCAUCUUGUCGGGCCACCCACAAGGGGAAAUUUUGGGGCGUGUUCACUAUACUCGACGAUGGCAGAUGGUGGAAGACGGCCAGUACAGAUCUCGUGCACCGUUGUGAACAGCGGGAACAUCUCUAACCAUCCCUUGUGUUUCAAAACCUCAUAUACCUCUUUUGCGGUUGAAACUCCCUUCAAAAUCAAAAUAGAAGUGUGUUCAGUGAUUUAGCAUCUCAGCUUCAAGCUCAUCGAAAGACCUGCAGAUCAUGAUGAAGAACUAAAGAUGAUCAAAAUCGUUCAUUGGUAAAAUCUAUGGCGUAGAGACGAACCUUUUGCCACCAUUCUUAGCAAAAGCCUCCGCACACUUCCUAUUUCUUCCUCCCACUGCAAUUAGCAUAUUCAAACAGUUCCGAUGAAUCCAUGAGAACAAGAAACAGGAAGAAAAAAAAAAAGACGAUAUUGCUCUUCUUACAGCAAGUCGUUAUGAGAUCUGCAACACCGCAGCUCUCGAAGAAGGUGAGACCAUGAAGUAAGGAGUGCUGAAUAGUUGCACCCAUUUGUCUGCAAUCUCCCUGUUUUCUCUAUACCCUACUGUUGCCUCGCUAAAUUUCUCCACUGCAAUCUGCUUAUUCAUUGUUAGCGAUUUGAUAGAUGAUGAUGAUACCUGCAUUUUCGAGAUCAGGGUCAGCAACAACGUUAGACCCAAGCUUAAUCCCCGGAGCCAUGAAUGAAUGUAGAGAGAGAAAGACGAAGAAGAUGAAAGAGGAAGAAAGGAGAAUUGAAGAUAUACAAUGAAGGAAGGAGGUGGGGUUUGGGCGGAGAAGAGAAAGAGAAGAGAAAGACAAGGCACGUACUCGUCGGCAGUUUCGAUGCUUACUAAAUUCGACUUGUAUGCAACGUUAAAAGAAGGGGCGAUGUCUUCUAUACCAAACAUUAU